ACCAUCUGCCACAGAGACUGCUGGUGUCCUAUCGCUGCUCCAUAGAGAGCAUUUUGACCUACUGUCUGUGUGUGUGGUUUUCCAGCUGCACAGUCACAGACAGGAAAGCUCUCCAGAGGGUCGUCACCACAGCCCAGAAGAUCACUGGUUGUCUCUUGCCUUCAUUAGAGGAAUUAUACACCAGACGGUGCCU
Molecule: long non-coding RNA, 193 nt
Organism: Thalassophryne amazonica
Lineage: Eukaryota; Metazoa; Chordata; Actinopteri; Batrachoidiformes; Batrachoididae
Exons: 4
Source: RefSeq, a predicted model, not a curated record